AACGAACGCUGGCGGCAUGCCUAACACAUGCAAGUCGAACGAGACCUCCUGGUCUAGUCGCGCACGGUUUCGUCACGCGUGGGAACCUUCCCUUAGGUUCAGCCUAACUCCCCGACAGGGGUACUAAUACCGGAUAAUAUCUUCUGACCAAAGAUUUAUCGCCGUUGGAUGGGCACGAGUUGGAUUAGCUAGUUGGUAGGGUAAAAGCCUACCAAGGCGACGAUCCAUAGCUUGUGCGCGGGGAUGAGCAGCACAACUGGAACGGAGACACGGGCCAGACACCUACGGGAGGGAGCAGAGGGGAAUAUUAGACAAUGGGCGAAAGCGUGAUCGAGCAAGGGCGCGUGAGUGAUGAAGGCGGUAGGGUUGUAAAGCUCUUUUACACGGGAUGAUAAUGACAGUUACGGGAGAAUAAGCUCCGGGCAAAUUAGUGG
RNAcentral lists this ribosomal RNA (434 nucleotides) under uncultured bacterium. RNAcentral's name for it is "partial 16S ribosomal RNA". It matches the Rfam family "Bacterial small subunit ribosomal RNA", at positions 29 to 508 of the family's 1533-position model. The record is from RNAcentral.